UGAAAACAAAACAUUCGUUCCGUGACGUGAGGCUCCAGCUUAAAACUUUGAAACUAUACCAAAUCAUACUCGGCAACUGAAGCAUGGAGGAGAAGAGCCGGAAAAAACCCUCUUUUCAAAAGAAAGCGACCCGCCAAAAAACAUUGCAAUAGAGAACUCUUUAGCGGAAAUGGUUUCCUGGCCUAUUGAAACUCUUUCAGCCGAUUCGCGGCAACACAUUACUUCAGAU
RNAcentral lists this long non-coding RNA (229 nucleotides) under Solanum tuberosum (potato). Its description in RNAcentral is "long non-coding RNA (STUB_LNC008212)". Lineage: Eukaryota; Viridiplantae; Streptophyta; Magnoliopsida; Solanales; Solanaceae. The record is from RNAcentral.